This is a transfer RNA of 71 nucleotides. It matches the Rfam family "tRNA". From Rfam's summary of the family: Transfer RNA (tRNA) molecules are approximately 80 nucleotides in length. Their secondary structure includes four short double-helical elements and three loops (D, anti-codon, and T loops).
GCAUUCGUGGUGUAGCGGUAACAUUGGGUCUUCCCAUGGCCUAGCUCCGGGUUCGACCCCCGGCGGAUGCA